This 253-nucleotide ribosomal RNA is filed under the name uncultured bacterium. Its description in RNAcentral is "partial 16S ribosomal RNA". It matches the Rfam family "Bacterial small subunit ribosomal RNA", at positions 524 to 776 of the family's 1533-position model. The record is from RNAcentral.
UACGUAGGGUGCAAGCGUUAAUCGGAAUUACUGGGCGUAAAGCGCACGUAGGCGGCUUUGUAAGUUAGAGGUGAAAGCCCAGGGCUUAACCCUGGAAUUGCCUUUAAGACUGCAUCGCUAGAAUUGUGGAGAGGUAAGUGGAAUUCCGAGUGUAGAGGUGAAAUUCGUAGAUAUUCGGAAGAACACCAGUGGCGAAGGCGACUUACUGGACACAUAUUGACGCUGAGGUGCGAAAGCGUGGGGAGCAAACAGG